This 406-nucleotide ribosomal RNA is filed under the name uncultured bacterium. RNAcentral's name for it is "partial 16S ribosomal RNA". It matches the Rfam family "Bacterial small subunit ribosomal RNA", at positions 30 to 526 of the family's 1533-position model. The record is from RNAcentral.
AUUGAACGCUGGCGGCAGGCCUAACACAUGCAAGUCGAACGAGUGGCGGACGGGUGAGUAAUGUCUGGGAAACUGCCUGAUGGAGGGGGAUAACUACUGGAAACGGUAGCUAAUACCGCAUACCAUCAGAUGUGCCCAGAUGGGAUUGGCUAGUUGGUUGGGUAACGGCUCACCAAGGCGAAGCUCCCUAGCUGGUAUGAGAGGAUGACCAGCCACACUGGAACUGAGACACGGGCCAGACUCGUACGGGAGGCAGCAGUGGGGAAUAGUGCACAAUGGGCGCAAGCCGGAUGCAGCCAUGCCGCGUGUAUGAAGAAGGCCUUCGGGUUGGAAAGUACUUUCAGCGAGGAGGCGUUACUCGAAGAAGAAGCACCGGCUAACUCCGUGCCAGCAGCCGCGGUAAUUC